ACCGCGCGGCAUGCCUUACACAUGCAAGUCGAACGGCAGCACGGGGGCAACCCUGGUGGCGAGUGGCGAACGGGUGAGUAAUACAUCGGAACGUGUCCUGUAGUGGGGGAUAGCCCGGCGAAAGCCGGAUUAAUACCGCAUACGAUCUACGGAAGAAAGCGGGGGAUCUUCGGACCUCGCGCUAUAGGGGCGGCCGAUGGCAGAUUAGAUAGUUGGUGGGGUAAAGGCCUACCAAGGGGACGAUCUGUAGCUG
RNAcentral lists this ribosomal RNA (253 nucleotides) under Burkholderia sp. ISOM030_OTU863. RNAcentral describes it as "partial 16S ribosomal RNA". It matches the Rfam family "Bacterial small subunit ribosomal RNA", at positions 39 to 289 of the family's 1533-position model. The record is from RNAcentral. Lineage: Bacteria; Pseudomonadati; Pseudomonadota; Betaproteobacteria; Burkholderiales; Burkholderiaceae.